CUCUCAGCAGGCUGACGUCAGCCCCUCCCCAGCAGCCAGAACAAGGCUCGGGAUUGUUUCGGCCCGGGAGAGCUCCCCGAGGAUUAAAGGCUUGGUGAAAUGCAGAGCACGGCACGGCGAGAGCAGCACCAGGCCUCCAUCCAUCAUCCAUCCAUCCUGCCAUCCAUCCAUCAUCCAUCCAUUAUCCAUCCAUCCAUCAUCUAUCCAUCCAUCAUCCAUCCAUCCAUCCAUCCAUCAUCCAUCCAUCCAUCCAUCAUCCAUCCACCCAUCCAUCCAUCCAUCCAUCCAUCCCUGCUUUGCCCACGGAAGGUGAUGGGGAGGACUCCAAAACCCAGCACAGCCUGGGCUCAAUCCAUGCUCCAAACCCAGCACAGCUCGGGCUCAAUCCAGGCUCCAAACUGGCACAGCCUGGGCAUGAUUUGGGCUCCAAACCCGGCACAGCCCGAGAUCCAUCCAUGCUCCAAACCUGGCACAGCCCAGGCUCAAUCCAUGCUCCAAACCCGGCACAGCCCAGGCUCGAUCGGUGCUCCAAACCCGGCACAGCCCGAGAUCCAUCCAUGCUCCAAACCCAGCACAGCCCAGGCUCGAUCCGUGCUCCAAACCUAGCACAGCCCAGGCUCAGUCCAGGCUCCAAAUCCGGCACAGCCCAGGCUCGAUCCAUGCUCCAAAUCCGGCACAGCCUGGGCAUGAUUUGGGCUCCAAACCCGGCACAACCCAGGCUUGGUCCGAGCUCCAAACCUGGCACAGCCCAGGCUCAAUCCGUGCUCCAAACCCGGCACAGCCUGAGAUCCAUCCAGGCUCCAAACCCGGCACAGCCCAGGCUCGAUCCAUGCCAGAGCCGCGCUGGGGACAGAGCUGCACCAUCUGCUUCCAGUAACAUUUAUCCAUUGGUGAGCUCUUGAAUUCCAUUUCCUUUGGUUCCCCCUCAACUGGGGUGUCCCAGAGCCCCCAUUCACGGCACAGCCAGGGUGAAACCUCCACUGUCC
Molecule: long non-coding RNA, 986 nt
Filed under: Zonotrichia albicollis (white-throated sparrow)
Lineage: Eukaryota; Metazoa; Chordata; Aves; Passeriformes; Passerellidae
Description: lncRNA (ENSZALG00000009176.1)
Source: RNAcentral